Molecule: long non-coding RNA, 1855 nt
Filed under: Salmo salar (Atlantic salmon)
Lineage: Eukaryota; Metazoa; Chordata; Actinopteri; Salmoniformes; Salmonidae
Description: lncRNA (ENSSSAG00000102105.1)
Source: RNAcentral
CUUAUAAGAGGACCCUAACUCCCUGUCUCUACAUCAGAACAAAGAGACAGCAAGAGCAGGUUUUAGCAGCUAGUGUUAGCGACACAGCUACCAUUUGAAGAUGUGUGUGUUUUUCUCUGAUAGCCGUGUGCUGUGUCUACUGGUGCUGACCAUGGCCAUCCUCUCCUUUACAUUGGAAGUGCGUUCCCAGGGAAUGAGGCCUCUAAAUUGCUGUUUGAAGACAUCCAAAAAACAUCCAGCAGAACCAAUCACACAGUGUCUUAUUCAGAUACCUCGUGGGAAAUGUAACCUCAGAGCAUACAUUUUCGCCAGUGGGGAGCAGUGGAAGUGCAUCAACCCCAAAGCCAGAUGGCUCCCUGCUGAGCUAGCAUCACUGGAACAGAGAGGAAUACAGUGUGACCCACUGAUUAAAUAACCAUCAGACCAUGAUCCUAGAUCAUCAUCAUCGUCAGCAGCAGGUUCAGCAGGUUCAUCUCUCUCAACCAGGAACUACAGAACUAAGAUCUCUCUCAACCAGGAACUACAGAACUAAGAUCUCUCUCAACCAGGAACUACAGAACUAAGAUAAUAAGAAGACAGUGAAAAUGAAGAUUAUGAUUUGUGUGAUUUAAGUAUUUCAAGCUCUCUUUAUCAGAUUAUUUAUGUAUUUAUUUAUUUAUUUCAACCUCAUCCCGGCAUUAAUUUAUUGUACUCAAUUCAUUAAGGUGUUUUAAAGGCAUUUGUAUUUAUUUAUUUCCUCUGUCCUUUUUUUAUGCUGUGAUAAUAACAUAACUUUGUUUGUAUAAAGUCUUUCAUUCUCAAAGUGCUUUACAAUAAUACAAAAUAGAGAACGGGAGACCUAUCGGAGUAUCCCUAUAGUAACUAGACCCUGUAAUGGCUGCAUAAAGGUUAAAGGUUGUGACACUCAAUCGUAUGGCUGGGCUGUGGUCAUGGUGAUGACACUGCUCAUCUGUUCUACCAACAAAGCCAUUCCCUCAGUCCUUGACCCUAUCCUCUUCCACUAGCCGCUACUCCUUGUCCUUAACCCCUACUGCUAGCUACCCCCUAAACUCACAGAUGCAGCUGUUUCAGUGAACCUGUAUUUAUUUGGCCAACAGAUAAACAAAUAAAAUACUAUUGACUGAAAUGGUCAUAAUCAUAAUAGCAUAUUGUUCCCAUGUCAGUCAGUCAGUCACAUGACCCAGUCUUCCUCUGGCCCCUCUCCUCUUCUCUCGGGGUGACUGUGACAUGGCUAACAUGGAAGGUACUGGAAUGAGUAAUAAAAGCAUGACAACCGGACGCUCACUGUGUGUGUGUGCGUGUGCGUGUGUGCGUGUGCGUGUGUGUUAGACGUGGAUCCUUCCUCUUUCCCAGGGAGAGAGAGAGCCAGCAGGAAGGAAGCCAAGUUUAUUCUCAUCCUGACCACAAACUAUUAAUGACCAAGUCUGCAAUGGUCACCAUCAGAUUUACAAUAAUUGCACAUGGAAUGAUAAAAAACCCAUAUGUUGUAAAGUGAUGUCUCCCCCCCCCCCACUGCCUGUCUGGUUAGUGGUUACCAUUCAGUAAGCAGUCUGUAGAACAUAGAGGUGUUAAUUUCGCUUCUGCAUGAUAAUGCAUUACACGUACACACACACACACACACACACACACACACACACACACACACACACACACACACACACACACACACACACACACACACACACACCUCUUUCACUCUUUCACUCUUUCUUUCUUUCUUUCUCCUCUCUCUCUCCUCUCUCCUCUCUCUCAAUUCAGUUCAAUUCAAGGGACUUUAUUGGCAUGGGAAACAUCUUUUUACAUUUCCAAAGCAAGUGAAAUGGAUCAACAAAAGUGAAAUAAACCAUAAAAAGUG